GAUACUGGAAAUAAAUACUAGUUUUACCCUUAACUUAACAAUAGUUCUUAUAAGGUGUGAAUGUAUAGUGCAUAUUGUUAAAUAUCUAGUAGUGUACCUAAAUAGUUAUUAUCUUGUUUUGAAGGGGGCGAUAUUAUUACUAUGUAAAUUUCUAUUCUCAACCGCUAGAGGUCACCAUGAGCAGCAGAAAAGGAUUUAAAAUUUUGGAGAAAUCUUAACUAGCAAAACGUGUUGUGAAUAGCUUUUUUUCGCAGGUGUGGUGUUUGGUGACAAACAGAAGAAUGAGCACGAAGUUCUGGUUGUAAAUGCUGAAGCAUCACCUUUUACUUUAUAUAUGAAGCAAAGCCUCUGGUUCAAUCUGCUUCAUCCACCACUAUCGCCAAGGAGCCUCGAAAUUCCUGAGCAAAUGAAACCUUUUCUUCACGGAACAACCCGGAGCAUUCCUUGCCAGGGCAAACAAUGGUCCUUUUCAGGCUGACCGGCUCUGAAAUUUCGCAGACUUGAAGCCCGUAUGAUGUUCAGAUCUCCUUUCCAUGGCUGCGAUGUGUCCAGGAUCCUGGCAUUCGGUCUCUCUCAGGGCGAUUCUCACUUCCAUUUCCCCCCAGCUUUGCAGUUACUCAACGUGCUGCACACGACGCCGUUUGUCGAGCUCCACACAGCAGUGGCCUCGUUCCACCAGUCUCUGCUGCUCUUUGCUCCACCUCAACCUGUCAUUGCUUUAUUGAAGCCAAUAUUAAUAGAGUGAGUCAGGAUUUUCUAGUGGUCAUCAGGUGCUGAUUAAAAGGAAUUUUCCAGAAGCUUCCGGAUUCCAGCUCUUAUUGACUCUAGUUAUGCAACCCUGGUCUCCAGGAAGCCUACAGACUACUAUAUGAUUUUCCCGUUCUGCAGGAGAUGAGGAUCCCACAGGCCUACCUACAUUUCACAGUGAGCCCAUCAUGCAAGCGCUCAUGUCCGCUUUACAGAGCAGUGAUGGGAAAUAAAUUAACCAAAACUGCCUGGAAAGAGUCCGAACUGAGCAAAGCUGAAGGCAGCACGGUUGGGUGGGGGGGGGAAGUAGGGAGGGUAUUCAACAUGGCAGUGAGGCAGUGAGACUUCAGGACACAGGGAGCAUGUGGGCGGUCUGCGGAGAGCCAUGCUGCCCCAGCUCAUGGUGCUCAGGAGGAACCCAGCAGAACAAUGAAUACAUCAAUCUGCAAACCGUUCAGCAGAUUCCAGGUGCAGCUGACUGCUGGAGAGACACUGGCCACUGGCAAACACUGGCCUCCCAGAAUUUAAUCAUCAACAGUGCCAUCAUAUCUGUGGUGAACCUUACAAGGGUCCUGCUCUUUUAUUUCACCAUUGUUUAAUUCUUUUCCAGCAUUAUUAUCAUUUUUACAUGCACCAGUUUGGAGCAUAAUGAUUUAUAAUCUACAGUAACUGCUUUAUCACCA
Non-coding RNA from Paramormyrops kingsleyae, 1430 nucleotides. Lineage: Eukaryota; Metazoa; Chordata; Actinopteri; Osteoglossiformes; Mormyridae. The record is from RefSeq and is a predicted model, not a curated record.